This 3955-nucleotide long non-coding RNA is filed under the name Sus scrofa (pig). Its description in RNAcentral is "lncRNA (ENSSSCG00000058777.1)". Lineage: Eukaryota; Metazoa; Chordata; Mammalia; Artiodactyla; Suidae. The record is from RNAcentral.
CUAUUGGUAAAGAGAUAAAGAGAGUUCUAAGUCAAAAAUGAAGAGAUGCAGAGAAGUAUUUCAGGGCGGAGAGAAGGUUAAAGAUGGUCAAGCUAAACAGAGCCAGGCUUACAUUAUGCCCCACCUUAAAACGGAUGUGAUAUGGAGAAGCCUCAGGUGAGUGUAUUAGGUUUUUGCUAUGCAGCAAAUUACUCCCCACUCCGUGGCAUAAAACUAUACCCAUUUCUUAUCUCACAGUUUCUGUGGGGGAGAAGUCAGGGUACAGAAUAGCCGGGUUCUCUGCUCAGGGUCUCUUGCAAAGAUGAAAUCAAGGUCCUGGCAGGGCUGUGUUCUCAUCUGGGGCCCAGGGUUCUCUUCCACAUUCGUUCAGGUUAUUGACAGAAUGCAGCUCCUUAUCACUGUAGGACUGAGCCCGGUGUUCUUGCUGGCUAUGGCAGGGGUGGCUCUUUGUUCCUAAGGCUGCCCUCAGGUCCAAUCUACAUGGCUCCCUCCAUAGGCAAUUCACAGCAUGGCUGUUCGUUUUCUACCAGACCAGCAGAAGAAUGUCUGUGGCUGCUUCUUGUUUCUUUUCAUUUCUCAGCUGAUUAGGUCAGGUCUAUCCAAGAUAAUCUCCCUUUUGAUUAACUCAAAGUUAACUGAUUAGAAACCUUAGUUAUACCUGCAAAAUCCUUUGUGCCCAUAUAAGGCAACCUUCACAGGAAUAGAGGCCAUCAUAUUCACAGGUCCUGCCUGCACCCAAGGGUGUACACCAGGGAGCAGAAUUUUUGGGGGACAUCUUAGAAUUCAGCCUGCCACAACAAGAUAAAUCAAAACAAGAAAAAGUAUUUUAUUGUGGGACUUAGGGUCACUUGGUUUUUUAAACAGGAAUGCAGGAAACUCAGUGCAUGCUGUUGUAAAUAUUCUGGUGAUAACAAUUAUGAACUUUGAACAGCAGAAUGAAAAUCUCCAGGAAGCAUAUCACUGGGCCAUCCCCUUGGUUAAAGUCUUAGGUUAGGGAGCAGUAGAGGAAGGGGAGUGUGGCAGGGUUUGAGUGAGGAUAGCAUUCCAAUCUUUCUGCUGGGGCCUGGUGAGCUCAUUAUCUAAGACUACCAGUCAAGUCUUCAGAUUAAAGAUGACUGGCAAUGCCCAGGAGAAAGUCUUGAGGGAGUGGGCUCUUAGCAGACAAUAGUCAGGAUGGUGUGUGGUUUCUGGAGCCUUGCAGAAGAGGAGUGCAUGCAGAGUGAGGGGGUAGGGUGAUGGGAAGAUGUGGGAAAAUGUUAGUUUAACCUUUGGUACCCAAGACAGGGUGCCCACCUUUAACCUCCACACUCUCUCUUAAAGGACAGACACUCAAGAUGUUGUAUUUGAAAAGGCAACUGAUAGAGGAGUCAGCUUCAUCCCAGACCUGCUCCCCUCUUGCCUGCCAGAGAGUCUGAUGGGUAGACAAAUGAAGUACCCUUGAGGAAGCUCCAGGAGUGCCAAUAACCAUCUUACACAGGACUACCAUUUAUCUAACAAAUCUCAGGCUGCUAAGUGCCCCAUCGUCACAAACUUCGACAUUCCUUCAGGGGUCAAAAUCAAGGGAGAGGGGAAGCAGGGCAUUCGUAAGGCCCUUCCUAUUCUGAAAAGAUGCCCUCCUCAGCCAGACUCCAGAGGGGGAGGGGAGCAGGAAUCCUCGUAAUCAUGAGGACCGAUCAGAUAAAUCCAGAUGGAGAGGCUCCCUUAAGCACAUGAGGCCCAGCCUCUGAAACUCCUGGUGGUCACUGUCCUGUGUUGUGGGUUUAGCCCCUUAAACACAUGUUCGAAAAGCUGAUGGACAGACUUCCAUUUGCAACUACUAUAUGCCAUCGGCAUCAGGCUAAGGUCUCGGUGGAACCAAAAAGAAACAAGAUUCUGAAACCCCGGAGUCUGCAGGAACUUAAACCACCCACACCUGGGAAACUACAAAGCAGUGGGGCAGUGGCGAUCCUGCUGGGUUGUGUGGCUGCGCUAAUGAUCGGCAGGUGGCUAGGCUUGCUCGUUAGUGAUAAGGAGCCCCCUCCUUGUAGGGCUCAAGACUUAAAAAAUGCUUCAGUAGAGGGGCAGCUUGCACAGCUCAUGACCUUCGGAGUUACUUAGGAAGAGUGCUACGUAACAGGUAAGCCUUGAGGGUCAGCGGUUUUCUCUGCAUGGAGGCCUGGGCUGAAAAAUUAGAAGGAAGCGGGGCCCAGCUCUACGACUGUCUCGAAGUUCUCCAUCUGCUAGGAACCAUUUGAAGAGACAUAUGCAGGCAUGGUUAUCUCUUUUCUAUAGGUAGGGAAGCUAAGGAAGACUUAGAGAAGUCAAUUGUUGGAGGCCACAUGAACAGUAAGCAGCAGAACUGGGAUUUGAACCAAGUCAGCAUAGGGUCAGCAUCCUCACGCCAGGGGCCAGGCUCUUCUGGCCUCCUGCCAUGCUGUGCUGCCUUAUACAACCUGACAGAGCACUUGCAGAAUCUGGCACUGUUUUUCAAGGCAGGUAAUCCUCACAAGUUGGGUAAAAACAUCUAGUGCAUAGAGGGCAGUAAAGGGGAUUGUGGGCUGUGUGGGUGUCAGUGAGGGCCCUAAGGGGGUGUCCUUUUCUCUCCGUUGCACACUGCCUGCAAGAUGACUGACUGAGGUAUUGCAGAAAUGCCACUCUCCUCUUCAGGGCUAUUGGUACUUGCAGUGCCAGAUGGCUGUCCUCAGGGUUCACUGCAGCUGAACAUAAAUAUAAACCCCACCAUUUCUAAGGGGGGGGCCUAUGAUGCCCAGGUGUGUGGUUCUGAAGCAAUUUUGCCUCAAGUAAAUCAGUAGGUCCAUAUUAGAAGACACGCGUUAAUUUAUUGCAGUGAGAUUUUAUGUCUUAGUCAGUCAUUAGCAGAAUUUCGUACCAGAAAUUCUUUCCUCUUUAAUCUUGGCGGGAUUGGUAUUACACAUAACUCGACUAUUAAGACAAGAAUAUCUUGCAGAUAGGGAGGUCGUUAAUCUAAAGGGUUUUUGCAGUGUGAAAUGCAAAUGCUCGGUGACAGGUAUGCCCAGAUCCCCCAAAGCCUGCUUAAUCUGCCAUAAAGGGAUCUAAGGAAAGGUUUGAUUGUUUUGUUAACACAAAUAAGAAGCCCUUCUGCAGCUCUGCUCUCUUUGCAGCUCCAAUUCUUUCACCAUUUGUUCAGAUAGACUUUCCAGCCCCUGGAGGGCCAGUUCAUCAACUCCUUCUUGUUUCCCUCUGUGUUCCCAAUGACAGACCUGGGAUUUGGGGUCUGCAUUCACAGAAGGUGAGGGUAAAGCAAAGAUGCUCUGUCGGCUGUCUGCUCUGCGGGCCCCUGUGACCAUCUCUUCUUCGUGUUCUGCUCCCUCUGGGGCAGCAUGCCUGGAUGUUUCCACACCCAGCUUCUGGGUUGACGGGCCUACUGGUCAGGUUUAGGAGACAGUGAUAUUGACGCGUGAGUCAUCCUUGAAAGAAGCUGGGAGUUAGGUGGCUCUGAUUCUGACCCAGCUCUGCCACAGAGUAGUUGUGUGACCUUGGCCAAGUCAUCCCUAUUUGCCUCAGUUUCCCAGAAUUGGAGUAAUGAUUGUUAAAGACCUUUCAGCUUUAAGUAGGAUCCUGUAAGCUCUGCUCCAUCCUCUGCAGAGGCCCUCAGUAAAGAAUCUCAAAAUUAGCUCACUUUAUUUAGUAUGACAUGCCUCCUAAUGUUUGUUACAAUGGCCCAGGGCGCUGGUGUUGGACAGCUUAGUUCAAAUCCUGGCUCUGAGUGACCUUGGGCAAAUAUUGUAACCUGUCCCUGCUUUAGUUCUCUCAUCUAAUAAUAGUACCAAUCUCUUAGAAAAAUGAUGAGAUUCAAAUCGGCCAAUGUGUAUAAACUACUCAACACAAUUCUUAGCAUAUAUGAAAUACUAAAUGUUAGCUGUUUUAUUAAUUUUAUUAUUCUAUAGAACUUGGAAGAACUGUGGGCUUAAAUUUCUACUACAACUAGCAAACC